Molecule: ribosomal RNA, 503 nt
Filed under: uncultured bacterium
Lineage: Bacteria
Description: partial 16S ribosomal RNA
Rfam family: Bacterial small subunit ribosomal RNA
Source: RNAcentral
AUUGAACGCUGGCGGCAGGCUUAACACAUGCAAGUCGAGCGGGGUGAUGGUGCUUGCACUAUCACUUAGCGGCGGACGGGUGAGUAAUGCUUAGGAAUCUGCCUAUUAGUGGGGGACAACAUCUCGAAAGGGAUGCUAAUACCGCAUACGUCCUACGAGAGAAAGCAGGGGAUCACUUGUGACCUUGCGCUAAUAGAUGAGCCCAAGUCGGAUUAGCUAGUGGGUGGGGUAAAGGCCUACCAAGGCGACGAUCUGUAGCGGGUCUGAGAGGAUGAUCCGCCACACUGGGACUGAGACACGGCCCAGACUCCUACGGGAGGCAGCAGUGGGGAAUAUUGGACAAUGGGGGGAACCCUGAUCCAGCCAUGCCGCGUGUGUGAAGAAGGCCUUAUGGUUGUAAAGCACUUUAAGCGAGGAGGAGGCUCUUUUGGUUAAUACCCAAGAUGAGUGGACGUUACUCGCAGAAUAAGCACCGGCUAACUCUGUGCCAGCAGCCGCCGUAA